UAAACCAGCCGACGUGCACAGCAAAGUUGUGCGAUCGUCACGAACUCUACUCACAAACUGAUUACUCAAAGUGCAUGCAGUCGAUUAACUACUAAAAGUAAAUGCCAAAUAGCUGGUCGGAGUAGCUAGAGCGCGGCGGAGACCACGCAUAUAAAAUGCAUUAUUAAACAAAGUGGCGAGCUGAGUGUGGCAGUGAGCGUGCCCUGGGCAGUCAAUAAGGUGUGAUCAGCUGAUUGAGGGAAAUUUUUUUGUUUUCGGUAGUAUUCCAGGCAUCCUAAAUCUGAGACGGC
This is a long non-coding RNA of Bactrocera tryoni, 290 nucleotides long. RefSeq lists it as uncharacterized. Lineage: Eukaryota; Metazoa; Arthropoda; Insecta; Diptera; Tephritidae. The record is from RefSeq and is a predicted model, not a curated record. The transcript has 3 exons.